GGAGUGAGCCCCAAAGGCUUCUUACACUCUUUCCCUGUGCCCCAUGGACCACAUUACAAGAGAAACUGGACCAAGAGAAGACCAUGCAUCCUUUUUGGGAGUGGAGAGACACAAAGGAGGAGGAAAGAGGCUUCUGGGUUAGUCGUUUUUGAAAGGAUUCAUGCCAUUUCAGAACCACAACUUCUUGAACAAAUAUUCCGGAUUGGAUUUAGUGUCAUCUGGACCUUCAAAACAGCGAAUGGUGAAGCAAAAUUAUAGAAGCUGUCCAACAUCUUCUGAGUGAAUGUAAUGAAUGAAUAAAGUGAUGAUACAGCA
Phascolarctos cinereus (koala) is the source of this 315-nucleotide long non-coding RNA. RefSeq lists it as uncharacterized. The record is from RefSeq and is a predicted model, not a curated record. NCBI's taxonomy places the organism in Eukaryota, Metazoa, Chordata, Mammalia, Diprotodontia, Phascolarctidae.